Lycium barbarum (goji berry) is the source of this 1774-nucleotide RNA transcript. RefSeq lists it as uncharacterized. The record is from RefSeq and is a predicted model, not a curated record. Lineage: Eukaryota; Viridiplantae; Streptophyta; Magnoliopsida; Solanales; Solanaceae. The transcript has 3 exons.
GAACCAUUUGCUUCCAGCCCUCCACUUUACACUUCACUAACGUUUUAGUUCUCCUUCUUCAAUGCUCCACCCUUUCUUUCUCUCACUUUUUUACUCUCUCUGUUAUCUCUUAUGAAUUUAAUUUCAUUUGGUCUUGUUUCUACUCUCACUUUUGGUUUUCUAUUUAUUUUCUGUUUUGUCUCUCGCUUCUGAUUUUAUUUUAUUUUUUCUUUUGAUUUUAGGUCUUCUUUUAUCGAUUUUCCAUUUGAUUGGUUUGAUUUUUCAUUCAAUUUUGGUUCAACCCUGUUGCAGUAAUAGUGUUGCAUGCACUGAAUCUAGACUUGGUUGGAUGUUGUUGCAGCUGAUCCUUUUGUUCCUCCUCUCCGUCGUCCCUAAUCAAGGGCCUUUGUGUUUACUUUGAGAAGAAAGGAAAGGAAUUGCAAACAUGAGAUGCAGGAAAGGAGCCGAAAGGAAUGGAAUUGCAAACAUGAGAUGCAGGAAAGGAACAGAGAAAGCUUGAUAUUCCAAAAUUCUACCCAUUUUCCAAAGAUAUUACUAUAUGUUAUAUUACAGCGGUUUAUAAGUUAUAACGUGAGGAAACUGAAGAAUUUUAGAAGUGUGCCGAGACAUCUAUAUAAAUGGAAACUAUGAUCAUUGUGAAACAAGUAGAUGUGGAAAUCAAGAGUAAAAAUCUGGACGGGGUAAAAGUUUGUCAUUCUGAUGCUCUACACAGGAAGCAACAACAUUUUGGUGACGAAACAGCGGAAAAUGAUGUGUGUUCGUGUUUUUUGGUUUGUUUUGUUGUGGUAAAAUAUUUUCUUUCCGAUUUUUUGUUGUUAUUUCUCAUAGGAACUUAUGGGAUCAUAGUGCUCCAAGUGACUCUAGCUGGUAUUGGAAGAAGAUAAAUAAAAUAAAACUGGGCAUGAAACAAUGGUACAAUGCUGGUGUAUACACUCUUACAACCAAUGGCAAAUACUCUAUUGGUAACAGCUAUCUCACUCUGAUAGGCAGUGGAACCAAUAUUAAGGAAAUGAAUUGAUAUGGAAUAAGGUGAUGCAGCCAAACCACAGGUUCAUCCUGUGGUUAGCAUACAGAGGAAGUUACUAACUAAAGACAGGAUGAUAGGAAUGGGAAUGAUUUGUGAUAUUGCUGAGUGUGUGCUUUGUGAUCAGGACAAAAUGGAAGAUUUCGAUCACCUCUUUGGGAAGUGUGAAUGGUUUCAAGUACUAUGGAUUGAGAUUAACAAGUGGCUGGGCGUGCAGAUACCACAGGCUGAACCAAGAAAGGUGGUGCAAAGCAUCAGAAGGAAACAAUGGAGUAAAAUGAAAAAGGAAACUGUCGUAGCAGUACAUGGAGCAAUGAUUUAUCUCACAUGGCAAGUAAGGAACUGGAAAAUCUUUCAAGCUACCACUGUAAACACAGACUUAGUUGUUAAACAAAUACAAUUUGUAGUUAAAGAGAGUGUAGGUAUGUUCAUAGGCUCAAAACAUGCUCGGAAUUGUAUAGAUUUUCUUGAGGCAAUUGCAAGUAGCACUUGAGACUUGCUAUCCUGGUUGACCUGUGUGGGUGACUAGGAAACAGGUGUUCCUAGGCUGUUUUGUUGGAAUGGUUGGUUGUGGUAAUAAAAUAUUUACAGUUCAUUACCAAAAAAGAAAAUUGCUGGGAGCUUUAGAAGGUUGGCAAUUUAUUUAAUUUAACUUUAAGGUGAGAAAUUUAUCAUAUUCUAUGAUUGCAUAGCGAUUUUUAAUCCUUAUAUGUUAUAAGUGAUCAAUUAAGUUUAGAUUCUUAUUCCUUU